This 464-nucleotide ribosomal RNA is filed under the name uncultured bacterium. Its description in RNAcentral is "bacterial SSU rRNA". It matches the Rfam family "Bacterial small subunit ribosomal RNA", at positions 189 to 644 of the family's 1533-position model. The record is from RNAcentral.
GGAGGAAGUAGGGGAUCGCAAGACCUUGCGCUUUUGGAGCGGCCGAUGCCUGAUUAGCUUGUUGGUGAGGUAAAAGCUCACCAAGGCUCCGAUCAGUAGCUGGUCUGAGAGGACGACCAGCCACACUGGGACUGAGACACGGCCCAGACUCCUACGGGAGGCAGCAGUGGGGAAUUUUGGACAAUGGGGGCAACCCUGAUCCAGCCAUGCCGCGUGAGUGAAGAAGGCCUUCGGGUUGUAAAGCUCUUUCAGCCGGAACGAAACGGUCACGGUUAAUACCCGUGACUACUGACGGUACCGGAAGAAGAAGCACCGGCUAACUACGUGCCAGCAGCCGCGGUAAUACGUAGGGUGCGAGCGUUAAUCGGAAUUACUGGGCGUAAAGCGUGCGCAGGUGGUUUUGUAAGUCAGAUGUGAAAUCCCCGGGCUUAACCUGGGAACUGCGUUUGAAACUACAAAGCUAG